GCCGAUUUGGCUCAGUGGGUAGAGCCUCGGCCUGAGGACUGAAGGGUCCCAGGUUCGAUUCCUGGUCAGGGCA
This is a non-coding RNA of Myotis brandtii (Brandt's bat), 73 nucleotides long. The record is from Rfam. Lineage: Eukaryota; Metazoa; Chordata; Mammalia; Chiroptera; Vespertilionidae.